Long non-coding RNA from Felis catus (domestic cat), 2904 nucleotides. RefSeq lists it as uncharacterized. NCBI's taxonomy places the organism in Eukaryota, Metazoa, Chordata, Mammalia, Carnivora, Felidae. The transcript has 3 exons. The record is from RefSeq and is a predicted model, not a curated record.
AUAUCUGGCCUUCUCAUAACUACUGUAUGAGCAAUAAGAAUCCAGUAAGAAAUAUUGCCUUAAGAAAAAUACCAUGCUGAGAAGGGUGACCUACAUCCUGCAUUAGUGGAUAGUCACUCUAUUUAUAGGAUCUUUAAAACAACUACAUUUUUAAUGAACUCAGGUGAAUAAAGACACAACUAAAAACUGUCUAAGAAGAAAGAAAAAGAAAGUCCAAUCCAGGGUAAUAGUGAAACUCAAAGUCCCUACCAGUUUAAACCUUUCCCCUUGCCUGCGUCAGGUCUCAGGUCUCUACUCGAUGCUGUGAAAUGUGCUGGAGAGGUUAAUUUCACUUUAAGAUUCUUCUUGAGUGUUUGUUCUACCUCCUUCCCACCACUUGCACCGUUUUGGGUACCUCUGGGGAUAAAGCACCCGAAGAUUGGCAAUUGGAGGAAAUAGGCACAAAACGUUUAACUUGAGAGGUGCAGCUGCAAUCUCUGGAGGUGUCCCCGGGGCAUGAUAAAAAACUGGAGCCAACCCUAUCUCACUGGCACUCCCUGAGGGUUUCCAAGAUCCCCUAUCGCAGGUAAUACCUUUUCCGGGUGUCUGUUUGGGUGAGUCCCCACUCAGCUCCAGGUUCCCAGAGAGAGGUUCAUUCAGUUAUUGGAAUCACUCCUCAGGCCUCAGUCUCCCACCAGGUGGCCUCUUUGGACAGGGGUUCUUCUCAAAGUGACUCCAUCCGGCUGCCUCCCCGUGUGCCUGGCCACUGGACACCCUGAGUCAUUCUCACCCUGCCACACUGAGAGUGCUGGCCGUUCACGGGCAACUUCCCCUUUUCCUGUGCUGCUGCCAGGCAAGGCAGAGUUGGGACAGUCAGGCAACAAAGUUCAAGCUCUCCAAACGUGGUUUUCUCUAAGCUCUUCUCAUUAGCUUCGAGUUGGAAAUACCCUCUCCACCCACCACCACACCCUGUUCUAAGGAACACGAUACUUUUCAGCAAGAAAAUCCUCCCAGGAGGCUCUCCAACCUCCCAGUGACCCUCACCUUCUCUUUUAUAGUCUGGAGGUGGCAAUGCUGGUUAAACCGUUUCGCAAUGUCUUCACCGGCUGUGUGUGGGCAAUCCAUUACCUUUCUUUGGAACGAGGAGGUACUUGGCACUUCCUGUUUUGUCCUCCACAAUCAGAGCCUCUGCCAGGUUUCAAGGUGAAAAGAAGAGUCCAUUUUAACACACUGCUGCAGUUUACAUUCUCCAUUUUCAGAUGCCAUUGUUAGUAAUUCCGUCUAUGUAGUGAGCGUUUUAAGUGACUGGGGAGAGAAGAGCAGCACUGUGCUCUGAGCGUGACUGACAAGGAGCUGUAUCUCAGAGUCUAAGCGGGAAGAGUCUGUCUUUAAAUACAGAAAACGCAUAUUUCUUACAUCUCUCUACUUUGCCUCCAUUCUCACUGCCCACCUUAGCUUUAGACCCCAUUGUCUCUUGCCUGUGUGGGGGCUGAUCUCUCCAAGCAGUAAUCUGAGCGACAAUGUGUAUUCCUUCCUCUGCUCUCACCAAACUGUUUCUCACAUGUCACUAUAUUUGUGUCCUAGGCCUACAGAAACAAAUGACCACAGAGUUGGUGGCUGUAAACAACAGAACUUCAUUGUCUCACAGUCUUAGAGGCCAGAGGCCGCAAUCAAGAUGUCCUCAGGUUUGGCUCCUUCUCGAGGCUCUGAGGAGAGCACCCCAUGCCUCUCCCCUAGCUGCUAUUGGCUCUGACAAUUUUUGGCCUUCCGUGGCUGGUAGAUGCAUCAUUCCAACCUCUGUUUCCAUCUUCCCAUGGCCUUCUCUGUGUGUCUCUGUCUUAAAUCUCCUUCUUCUUGCUCUUAUAAAGGCACCAGUCGUUGGAUUUGGACCCACUAUCGAAAUCCAAAACUAUCUCAUUCUGAGAUCCUUCCCUUAAUUAUGUCUGCAAAGGCCCUAUUUCCAAAUCAGAUCACAUUCACAGGUACUAGGGUUGGGACUUCAAUGUGUCUUUCGGGCGGGGCCCCACUCAGCCGCCACCAUCACAAAGGGCUUCCCCCACACGGCUUCCUCCUCUUUACUCAGCAUUCACUGUCUGACCUCCAAUGCUUCUGAAAGACUGAGGCACACACUGACCGACUGUUUUUCUUACACAGACUAGAUGAAUGAGAAUGGGGACUGGAGAACGCGGAGUAGAGAAACCUCAACCCUGGAAGGUGGAGCCGGAGACAGGGUGCAGAGGCAGACUCAGCACGAACCAAUGGCCACUGCAGAGUUGCACUACCUCCUUUAAUUUGCUGGCCCCUUCCCAAGAAAAAAGGCUGAUACAAACAAAAGGUUCAGAGUAUAAUUUAUCUCCCAGUAUUUCCUGCUCAACCAGAAAUUCAAGUACCAGAAAUUGCAGUAAUCUCUCUGAUUCUCUAGUUCCUCAGUUGGUAAGUCUAUUUCUUGAUGUGGUUCUGAAGAUUAAAUGAGAUCAUCUGCAGCAGAUUCCUUUACAUUCCUGAAGAUGGUCCGCCCUGAAAUCCGCUGUAUCUUGGAGAGCUACCAAAGGGGCAUGAAGGAAAGUGGUGAAGAAGAAGAAAAAGAAGAAGAGAGAGGAGCAUAAGAAGCAUGCCACAGAAGCAGAACAGCAGAACCUGCAAGAUAUCAAGAGGUGACUCCCGAGUCCUGGUGCAGUGCCGUUUAGAGCACAGCAGAGGUGGCAAGCAGCAGCCAGAAUCUGUGGACAAUGUAAGCAAUCCUCAGUGACUUCCAAAAAUUCCUUUGGGAAGGAAACUCAGGAGGAAAAAAAAAAAAAAGAAUAAAUUAGAAUAUGUCCCAGUGACAAACAAAUCAAAAAUUUCAGUGGCUUAAGACCAUAGAGUAUUUUUACUCACACUACAUUUUUUUUAAGUUUAUUUAUUUAUUUUUCAGAGAGAAAGAGA